This 253-nucleotide ribosomal RNA is filed under the name uncultured bacterium. Its description in RNAcentral is "partial 16S ribosomal RNA". It matches the Rfam family "Bacterial small subunit ribosomal RNA", at positions 524 to 776 of the family's 1533-position model. The record is from RNAcentral.
UACGGAGGGUGCAAGCGUUAUCCGGAUUUACUGGGUUUAAAGGGUGCGUAGGCGGACAGGUAAGUCAGUGGUGAAAUCCCCGAGCUCAACUUGGGAACUGCCGUUGAUACUAUCUGUCUUGAAUACCGUGGAGGUGAGCGGAAUAUGUCAUGUAGCGGUGAAAUGCUUAGAUAUGACAUAGAACACCGAUUGCGAAGGCAGCUCACUACGCGGUCAUUGACGCUGAGGCACGAAAGCGUGGGGAGCAAACAGG